This is a long non-coding RNA of Telopea speciosissima, 737 nucleotides long. RefSeq lists it as uncharacterized. The transcript has 2 exons. Lineage: Eukaryota; Viridiplantae; Streptophyta; Magnoliopsida; Proteales; Proteaceae. The record is from RefSeq and is a predicted model, not a curated record.
GGAUAGCAGAAAUUGCCACUGAUGGAGUUCACUUGGUGGCCAUACCAAUGGAUAUAUGCAUGUGCUUGCUGGUCCUGAAAGCAUGCUGGGGACUUCAACUGAUUUGAAGAUCAUAUCCAUUGAAGGUGGUCAGUGUUUGCUGAGGUGAUUCAGACUCCUGGUCGAACAAAAGAGAACACUAAUUCCAUUGGAAACAAAUCUAUCCACAACAAAUAUCUUCCAAGCUGUGACUUGAGACAACAGCUGUAUUUGUUCAAAUGACCAUGAACCAUAUUAUUGUGUUGUUCAAAGCUGUGAAAGACGAUAUUGUAUAUGCUAAAGCACCACCAAAGUGGACAUCACUUGGCUGGAAGAUCACAACAGAAGAAAUGCCAUUGGGUCAUCAAGGCAGCGAAAAGUCCAUGGAGCAGAAAAGAUGGAGAAAGAACAUCUUUUAGGAUCAAAGGAGAAGCAAGCUGUAGAAGCAUAUGGUUGUACGGAUUGGGCUCUACUAGGUGGGAUGAUUUUAAGCUCCCCAACAAUUGGAGCUUUACUGUUGCUUCUGGGUUUGUGGAUGCUGUCAUCAAAAUGGAGAGCAUGUUGAGUGUAUUGUAACAUCAUUAAUCUGAGGCAUUUUUUUGACUGGGAUUACAGUAUUACACUGAUAUAAAGCUGCAAUUUUGGACUUAAUAUUGUAAUAGUUGCCAUGUGUAAAUUUGCUUCUAUUUGAUUCUGAUCUAAAUGCAUAUUGAUGCUCU